This is a non-coding RNA of Cinara cedri, 224 nucleotides long. Lineage: Eukaryota; Metazoa; Arthropoda; Insecta; Hemiptera; Aphididae. The record is from the annotation of a GenBank genome assembly.
CAAAGUGAUUAUAUUAUAACGUUAUUUAUAAUAUCGUGUAUCCACGUGCAGAUCAAAUGAUUAAACAGUCAACGGAGUGAAAGUAAUCGCGAAGUUCAUAGAAGUAGUGGCAUAGACGCACUGACACACUGUACAAGUGUACGUAAUGACUAAUGGUAAAUACUAUACAUAGUUCCGACGGUUAACUAUUGUGAUCGUGCAACGACGGUAUAUCAAAUAAGUAG